RNAcentral lists this ribosomal RNA (253 nucleotides) under uncultured bacterium. Its description in RNAcentral is "partial 16S ribosomal RNA". It matches the Rfam family "Bacterial small subunit ribosomal RNA", at positions 524 to 776 of the family's 1533-position model. The record is from RNAcentral.
UACAGGGGGUGCAAACGUUGCUCGGAAUCAUUGGGCGUAAAGCGCACGUAGGCGGUUCGUUAUGUCGGAUGUGAAAGCCCUUGGCUUAACCGAGGAAGUGCAUCCGAAACUGGCGAGCUAGAGUACUAAAGAGGAUCGCGGAAUUCCCGGUGUAGAGGUGAAAUUCGUAGAUAUCGGGAGGAACAUCGGUGGCGAAGGCGGCGAUCUGGGUAGAUACUGACGCUGAGGUGCGAAAGCGUGGGGAGCAAACAGG